Molecule: long non-coding RNA, 250 nt
Filed under: Lathyrus oleraceus (garden pea)
Lineage: Eukaryota; Viridiplantae; Streptophyta; Magnoliopsida; Fabales; Fabaceae
Description: Pisum sativum (pea) long non-coding RNA (PSAT_LNC001849)
Source: RNAcentral
UCUGAUCUUUUCUUCAGCAGUAUCGACUUUCUAGGAAGAUCCUUCACAACAAGCAAUAGUAAGUGAAAUGAUCAUUUCAUCAACUACCACUAUUGAUCAUUACCUCAUCCAACUAUAAUACCCAGAACUUGAAAUACAUGCAGCACAUGAUACCUGAUAGUAAAAAAAAACCAAAUGUGAAAUGGUAAAAAUUAAAAAUUGGGAAAUAAUCAAUAAAAAUAAAAGCAAAAAGCAUAGUAAAACCUCCCCC